GUGCUCGCUUUGGCAGCACAUAUACUAAAAUUGGAACUAUACAGAGAAGAUUAGCAUGGCCCCUGCACAAGGAUGGCAUGCGAAUUCAUGAAGCAUUCCAUACUUUU
Small nuclear RNA from Manis javanica (Malayan pangolin), 107 nucleotides. The record is from RefSeq and is a predicted model, not a curated record. NCBI's taxonomy places the organism in Eukaryota, Metazoa, Chordata, Mammalia, Pholidota, Manidae.